Molecule: ribosomal RNA, 493 nt
Filed under: uncultured bacterium
Lineage: Bacteria
Description: bacterial SSU rRNA
Rfam family: Bacterial small subunit ribosomal RNA
Source: RNAcentral
ACUCAAAGGAAUUGACGGGGACCCGCACAAGCGGUGGAGCAUGUGGAUUAAUUCGAAGCAACGCGAAGAACCUUACCAAGGCUUGACAUGGGGAUGACCGGUGUAGAGAUACACCUUUCCUUCGGGACAUCCCGCACAGGUGGUGCAUGGUUGUCGUCAGCUCGUGUCGUGAGAUGUUGGGUUAAGUCCCGCAACGAGCGCAACCCUUACGUUUAGUAGCCAGCUUAUGCGCACACUAGACGGACUGCCGUGGAUAACACGGAGGAAGGCGGGGACGACGUCAAAUCAUCAUGCCCCUUAUGUCUUGGGCAUCACACGUGCUACAAUGGCCGGAACAGAGAGAAGCAAAGGGGCGACCCGCAGCAAAGCUCAAAAAACCGGUCUCAGUUCGGAUUGUAGUCUGCAACCCGACUACAUGAAGUUGGAAUCGCUAGUAAUCGCGAAUCAGCAUGUCGCGGUGAAUACGUUCCCGGGUCUUGUACACACCGCCCGU